Molecule: ribosomal RNA, 496 nt
Filed under: uncultured bacterium
Lineage: Bacteria
Description: partial 16S ribosomal RNA
Rfam family: Bacterial small subunit ribosomal RNA
Source: RNAcentral
ACGCACGCUGGCGGCGUGCCUCAUCCCUGCCAGUAGAACGCUGAAGAGAGGAGCUUGCUCUUCUUGGAUGAGUUGCGAACGGGUGAGUAACGCGUAGGUAACCUGCCUUGUAGCGGGGGAUAACUAUUGGAAACGAUAGCUAAUACCGCAUAACAAUGGAUGACCCAUGUCAUUUAUUUGAAAGGGGCAAAUGCUCCACUACAAGAUGGACCUGCGUUGUAUUAGCUAGUAGGUGAGGUAACGGCUCACCUAGGCGACGAUACAUAGCCGACCUGAGAGGGUGAUCGGCCACACUGGGACUGAGACACGGCCCAGACUCCUACGGGAGGCAGCAGUAGGGAAUCUUCGGCAAUGGGGGCAACCCUGACCGAGCAACGCCGCGUGAGUGAAGAAGGUUUUCGGAUCGUAAAGCUCUGUUGUAAGUCAAGAACGAGUGUGAGAGUGGAAAGUUCACACUGUGACGGUAGCUUACCAGAAAGGGACGGCUAACUACGUG